Molecule: ribosomal RNA, 497 nt
Filed under: uncultured bacterium
Lineage: Bacteria
Description: partial 16S ribosomal RNA
Rfam family: Bacterial small subunit ribosomal RNA
Source: RNAcentral
GAUGAACGCUGGCGGCGUGCCUAAUACAUGCAAGUCGAGCGAACGGACGAGAAGCUUGCUUCUCUGAUGUUAGCGGCGGACGGGUGAGUAACACGUGGAUAACCUACCUAUAAGACUGGGAUAACUUCGGGAAACCGGAGCUAAUACCGGAUAAUAUUUUGAACCGCAUGGUUCAAAAGUGAAAGACGGUCUUGCUGUCACUUAUAGAUGGAUCCGCGCUGCAUUAGCUAGUUGGUAAGGUAACGGCUUACCAAGGCAACGAUGCAUAGCCGACCUGAGAGGGGGGUAGGCCACACGGGAACUGGGACACGGUCCAGACUCCUGCGGGAGGCAGCAGUAGGGAAUGUGCGGCAAUGGGCGAAAGCCUGACGGAGCAACGCCGCGUGAGUGAUGAAGGUCUUCGGAUCGUAAAACUCUGUUAUGAGGGAAGAACAUAUGUGGAAGGAACUGUGCACAUCGUGACGGUACCUAAUCAGAAAGCCACGGCUAACUACGUG